Long non-coding RNA from Mauremys reevesii (Reeves's turtle), 150 nucleotides. RefSeq lists it as uncharacterized. The record is from RefSeq and is a predicted model, not a curated record. The transcript is spliced from 3 exons. NCBI's taxonomy places the organism in Eukaryota, Metazoa, Chordata, Testudines, Geoemydidae.
ACAGAAUGCAGAAGAUGGGCUGAUCUGCAGGGACUUUGGAUGUUAGGGAUUCAUUUCCUAAGUGGUUGUACAGUGCGUUUAUACAGGAGCAGGAUUUCACAAGUUUGUGUGGAAAUCUGAUUAUUGCCAAUAACAGUGCUUGUAAAUAGG